CCUACGGGAGGCAGCAGUGGGGGAUAUUGCACAAUGGCGGAAACCCUGAUGCAGCGACGCCGCGUGUGGGAAGACGGUGCCCUGGAUUGUAAACUACUGUCCCCAGGGACGAAGAUGAGGGUACCUGGGGUGGAAGCUCCGGCUAAAUACGUACCAGCAGCCGCAGUAAUACGUAGGGAGCGAGCGUUGUCCGGAUUUACUGGGUGUAAAGGGAGCGUAGGCGGGACUGCAAGUUGGGUGUCAAAUCUACCGGCUCAACCGGUAGCCGCACUCAAAACUGCAGUUCUUGAGUGAAGGAGAGGCAGGCGGAAUUCGCAGGGUAGCGGUGAAAUGCGUAGAUAUUAGGAGGAACACCAGUGGCGAAGGCGGCCUGCUGGGGGUUUACUGACGCUGAGGCUCGAAAGUGUGGGGAGCAAACAGGAUUAGAUACCCUAGUAGUC
This 440-nucleotide ribosomal RNA is filed under the name uncultured bacterium. Its description in RNAcentral is "partial 16S ribosomal RNA". It matches the Rfam family "Bacterial small subunit ribosomal RNA", at positions 338 to 795 of the family's 1533-position model. The record is from RNAcentral.